CCGCAUGAUCCGCGAUGCCUCAAGGCAUCCCGGGAAAUGGUAGCUUCGGCCUCCGCCUUGGGAUGGGCCCGCGCCGCAUUAGCUUGUUGGUGAGGUAACGGCUCACCAAGGCGACGAUGCGUAGCUGGUCUGAGAGGACGAUCAGCCACACUGGGACUGAGACACGGCCCAGACUCCUACGGGAGGCAGCAGUGGGGAAUCUUGCGCAAUGGGCGGAAGCCUGACGCAGCAACGCCGCGUGAGGGAAGAAGGCCUUCGGGUUGUAAACCUCUUUCAGGGGGGACGAAGCUUCCGGGGUGAACAGCCCACGGGGUGACGGUACCCCCAGAAGAAGCCCCGGCUAACUACGUGCCAGCAGCCGCGGUAAUACGUAGGGGGCGAGCGUUGUCCGGAAUCAUUGGGCGUAAAGCGCGUGUAGGCGGCUUGGUAAGUCCGGUGUGAAAACUUGGGGCUCAACCCCAAGCCUGCACUGGAUACUGCCUCGCUUGAGUCCGGGAGGGGAGAGCGGAAUUCCUAGUGUAGCGGUGAAAUGCGCAGAUAUUAGGAAGAACACCGGUGGCGAAGGCGGCUCUCUGGAACGGUACUGACGCUGAGACGCG
RNAcentral lists this ribosomal RNA (599 nucleotides) under uncultured bacterium. RNAcentral's name for it is "bacterial SSU rRNA". It matches the Rfam family "Bacterial small subunit ribosomal RNA", at positions 169 to 755 of the family's 1533-position model. The record is from RNAcentral.